UUCAACCCAUGCCCCAUAGAGGACAGAAAUCCUAAACUUAAAUCCCUAACGCCCCACGCAGCUCAUCUCUCUAGUCUCAACUCUCGUCAGUCACUCUCAGGCCAGCCGGCGCUGCCGCUCAGUUCUCGCUGAGUGCUCGCAGGCGUCGCGCAGCCCGCUACUCACUGGCCAGUGGCCAGUGGCCACUGCCCACUGCUCACGCUCGCGAGUCGCGCCUCGAAGGUACUAGUUUGUUUUCUCUGUGAAUAUACUGAAUUACUAGUUUGUUUUAACCAUUUGGUUCGUAAAUUUUAUUGACUCGAUUAAUUUGAAUUUGAAUUUAAAUUCAUCAGCGGGAUAGGCUGCAGGGAUACAAUGUUCUCCACCUAAAAGUUAUCAAGACUCAAGCUUAUUUGAUAUUUUGUAGUGAAAAUCUUAAUUCCACUGCUAUUUCGCAACUAUUCUUUUUCAUGUUCCAAUUUACUCAGAUUCAUAAUCUUUAUUUUGAUGCUAAAUUAAUAAUGGAAUCUAAUAAACUUGUGGAAAACAACACGAGUAGCACUCUACGAGCUCAGAUUAGAGUUUUUUUUAUUCAUUGAAUGCAACUAUGUGAUUAUUUGUGUGAUCUGUGAACUGUAAAUUGUAAUGUACUGCGUCUUUCUGUAAUUAAGUUGCAACUCUGUUGACAUUUGUGUUAAAUGAGUAUUCAUGAAGUAGUGUUGAGUCAUGAGUGUCUAUCAUCCCUAGAAUCAGUUUUGUUUGAAUAUUUAAGUCAAUGACAUGGUAAGUUGCAAGUUGAAUGCUUGUCGAAAUUUGAAGGCAAAAGCCAAACUGUAUGGCAUAGAUUGCUGGAGUUUGGAGAGUAUAUCGUUGAGUGUUGAUUGUUGUACAGUUAGUGAUCAUUUGAACAGCAGCACAGCCCACAGGUGACGAGGUAUUGAGGUGAAAACUUACCAUUUGCACAAAUUUGAUAUUUGAACAGGUAAAAUUAUGCCCUUUUGAGUUUAGUGAUGGCCUAAUUGGGCAGGCUGCAGGUCACAACUCACAGGUGAAGUUGCAAAUUAUUCCUUUUCUUCUAUUUAUAAGGUGGCUCUGCCCCUGGACAUGAAGAUGCAUGAUAUGAAGUACCCACGUAUAGUGAUGAGUAAACUGCAUUGUAUACCUCCUUCUCUUCCCUUCCUACCCCUAUAGGUGGGGGUGAGAGUUCAUGGUUUAAGCAUAGAGAAAAGAAUAUGUCUACUUGCCGCAAAAGAGUCCUUUAAUGCACAUGCCAUUUUUAUAUAAAAAAUAUAAGAGUUACACAUAACUGCUCCAUGAAAAAGCACAACAAUAGGAUGACCUUAACAAGGCUCAGACUGUGGAGUUCAAUUACUACUACUCUUACCCAUUUUUAGGCGUACGUAUGAAUACACUAACAUUUUAAUUUCAAGUCAAAGAACCUGCUAAAUUCUACCCAAAAAAAAAACAUUUCUCUAAGAUUAUAGGGCUAGGUUUACUUUUUGCAAGAAGGAAAGAGAAGAAUUUAGAACAAAAAGAGAGAGUGUGUGCGGUCCUUAGGGUAAGUUUGUUAACAAAGACGGACAAAUACACAGAAGUGUCUUCUCUCUUUCUCUCUCUCGUUCAAAAAGCCAUCAAAACCAUUCCUUCAGCCUCAAUUUUUUUAAUACUAAACCAUUCUUCAAAAAAGUUCCUAAAACAAAUCUUCCAAAACAGAAAAGCACACACAUCAAUUGUUUUCAAAACAGUGUUUUUCAUAUCCAAAUGCCAUAUUUAUCUAUCUUUCAAAUCUAAAAAACAAAAAAAAGGAUAGUGGCACAUGCAUCACAUGCAUAUACCAAUAUAUACUCUUCUAGGAGAAGGGGGAUGAAAGUAACUACCUUUAUCUUGAUGGCACAAGACCCUUGACGAAAAAUCUGUGGAAGGUCCUUGUAGUUGAUACCAAACUGCUGAAAGAGUAAUUCAGUUUGCUCCUGCUUUUGUGUCCCCUGCUUUUGUCGAACACUAUUAAGCCUCAAGUCUAGGGUUCUUUGAGUCUAACCAUAAAUUUGAAAAAUGAUGUGUUUAAAUGCCUUCAAAAGUAAGUAGAUCCAAAAUAUAAAAAUGCAGUUAAUCCUACCAUGGCCCAAGCUAUUAUUGCAAAAAUUGGUGAAUACAACCAUCAAUCAUUAAAAAUUUCAUCUUUGGAGCAAAACCAAGCAAGAUGAAAAAGUAAUGAGGGUAGAAUUUUUUUUCCCCUUAGAGCACCGUUUUGAUACAAGAAGAGUACCUAAGGGAAAGAAGAUAUAAACAACUAGGGAGGUCAUAAUUCAUCUAUAACGAUAUUGUAAGGAGCACAUCACAUAUAUGAGAAUUGACUGAUUGAAAGCAUAUUAGACAAGGCACACUCGAAAUUCCGAACAGAAGUGGAAAAAGAUUUAAAGAUUGGAAAAUGCUUUUGUACAUUCUUUGAGUACAGAUGGAGCACCCAUAGCCUAGUAGUCAAUGAAGUGGAUUGAGAACCAUGAGGUCUGAGGUUCAAAUCCCAGUAUAUACAAAAACACUAGGUGAUUUCUUCACAUCUGUCCUAGGCUCCUAGCCUUGGUGGGCAGAGUUAAUUGGCUAGUGGGAGGUGACAGGUAUCCCGUGGAAUAGUCGAGGUGCAUGCAAGCUGUUCCAAGGCACCAGGGUUAUCAAAACAAAAAGUACAGAUAGAGAAAAAGAUAUAUAUCUUGUGACUUGACCUAUAACUUAGAAUCUUCAGUCCAAUCCAAAAUUUGGCCCCAAGUUUACCAUUAGUUAGCUUCAAGUUAUGUGGUUCAUCUAAAUCAUAUAUAGCAAGAGUAAAAUUUGGAAAAAUCAGCUUCAUGAUCUAAGUAACACUUCUCAAUCUGUGCAGUGCAGGUAUUGACAUUUUUGAAAGGAGUUCAACACAUAAAUUCCAGGUAACAAACUGUAGACGAGUAAUCCAUAGGAGAUCAUAGAUAUGUAUGCAGAGCUAUCACUCCAGAAACCUUUGCUGGGAGCUUUAAUACUUUUUUCUUCACAUAAUAGUCAUUUUCUAAGACCUUCUCUAAUAAGCAUCUUGCUUUGUGCAAAUGAAGUCACUAAAUGCAUAUAACUGCGUACCUUCUGUAGCUACUAGCAUAUGAAAACCACCUGCUACUAUAUCUGGCAAGUUUGGCCUGGACCAGGACUGACACACUUGGCCUCUGGCCCAGGGAGAUGGUCUGGUUCACGAACCGGACCCUUUCUUAAGAGGCCGGUCUGGGCCAGUAAAUUCUGAAGAGUGGUGGACCUGACACCAACUCCUGAUUCCUAACCACUAUGUGAUCUGGUAGUGGACCAAUCCGAGCUUCUUCUUUUUAACUUCAUUCUACUUUUCUUCUUAUGAUUUUUAACAUUAUAUUUAUUUAGUAUUAACUAAAAUUUGAAAUCGAAAAAGAAUAACAUUGAAGAAAAAAACCGUAAAUACGCAUGUCAUAUUAUUGAGGAAACAAUUCAAUUUUUUAUUCUCAAACUUGAGUUAAUUUCAGCACCUUAAGAAUCUCUUUCGCCUCCUUUUCUAACUUUCCAGAAAACACCAGCUUCCACAAACAAGUAUUGUAUUGAUUGCUUAUAUGACCUGUAAGAAGAACCAAUAUCCUUUAGCAUCAGAUUUUAAGAACUCAACUCCUCCAGUAACAAUUAAUUGGAAAUAUUCAAUACGAGAACUCACAUUCUGUUUGUCUCCAUAGAAGAUAUGCCUGAAGAACCUCCAUUGAUGUAGAUAACUCGUGAAUGGAAUGAUGGAGGCACACUUACCUCUUUUUGAGAAAAGAACUAUUUCCAUUUGGUUACAUAUGUGGAUGAGAAGAAAUACACAAUAAUGGAUAGGAUUUUGCUGCAC
This 3844-nucleotide long non-coding RNA is filed under the name Solanum tuberosum (potato). Its description in RNAcentral is "long non-coding RNA (STUB_LNC004966)". Lineage: Eukaryota; Viridiplantae; Streptophyta; Magnoliopsida; Solanales; Solanaceae. The record is from RNAcentral.